CCAAAUAUAGUUUUUAGAAUAUCUCUUUGUUAAUGAGAAGGUUGAUUUUGGU
This 52-nucleotide transfer RNA is filed under the name Dermatophagoides pteronyssinus (European house dust mite). Its description in RNAcentral is "tRNA-Asn". The record is from RNAcentral. Lineage: Eukaryota; Metazoa; Arthropoda; Arachnida; Sarcoptiformes; Pyroglyphidae.